Molecule: ribosomal RNA, 253 nt
Filed under: uncultured bacterium
Lineage: Bacteria
Description: partial 16S ribosomal RNA
Rfam family: Bacterial small subunit ribosomal RNA
Source: RNAcentral
UACGUAGGGUGCGAGCGUUGUCCGGAAUUAUUGGGCGUAAAGGGCUCGUAGGCGGUUUGUCGCGUCGGGAGUGAAAACCUUGGGCUUAACUCAGGGCUUGCUUUCGAUACGGGCAGACUAGAGGUAUGCAGGGGAGAACGGAAUUCCUGGUGUAGCGGUGAAAUGCGUAGAUACUGGGAGGAACACCGGUGGCGAAGGCGGCUACCUGGACAGGUACUGACGCUGAUGCGCGAAAGCUAGGGGAGCAAACAGG